Molecule: long non-coding RNA, 1024 nt
Organism: Enhydra lutris kenyoni (northern sea otter)
Lineage: Eukaryota; Metazoa; Chordata; Mammalia; Carnivora; Mustelidae
Exons: 3
Source: RefSeq, a predicted model, not a curated record
UAACUCCAGAUGACACCGGGAGACAAAGGGAAGCCAUUUCCGGAGAGGGCGGAGUUUGCUUCCGUGCAGGUACCGCCUAAAUGCACAACCGGCCAAAACUAUGGGAAGGUGUUGGGAGUGAGCAUCCCAUCCUACAGAAGAGGAAACUGAGGCACAGACAGGGUAAGGAGAGCCUGGUGCAGAGCUGGUAAGUGGCAGAAGCCAUGUCCAGACCCACGUCCCUCCCCUGGUUGAGAACCACCUAUUUCUGCCAAGCGCACUUAGGAUAAACUCAGCCUCCCAGCCCCGACAAGGAAGACCUUGCCUCAUCUGGCUCUGCCCUGUUUCUGCCUCCUCUCCUGUCCCAUUCUUCCCACUCAGGGAGCUCUCCAGCCACACUGGACAUGACACACGGGCCUGUCGGGGGCUCUGCCUCAGCGGUGUCUCCUCCCACAGUCCACUCCCCGGACCGUUGCUAGUCUGCCCCUCUCGUCAUUAGGCUCUGGCUCCUGUGGUUCCUUCUCCCCGCAUCCUGGCCUCUAAUGCAGACUGAAAUGAUUCCACUGGUGUACUGGUUUUAUGCUUGGCCUCCACCUGGUGGAGCACAGGGUCUGAGAGAGGAGGCUGUGCCUUUCUUGUGGGUGCUGGCUCCAUCAGCCCCUGUCGGGACCUGGCAGAGUGGGCGCUUGGCGGACACAGCCCGGGGUCCGGUGGUGAGUGAGUGAGUGUCCGCCUCCACGCCAGCUUCUCCAGCACUCCGUCGCCCUGCACGGUGCCGGCUCGCCUCCACUCACCUGUGCCCUUGCCGUCAGACAGAGUGGAGGUGGAGACACCAAGGCCUUGAGCUGCCCAAGGUGGUGUAGCUGGCUGGUGGUGCCAGGAUCAACACAACGGCCUCGGGGCUAUCCACGUCCACCUCCCCGAUGAGAAAAGCAGUCCCUGGAUGCGAGGGACUGGCCUGGGGUUCCCUGGCUCCUGAGUGCAAAGCCGGGGCUAGAACCUUGUCCCUUCCAGGGUUCCUGGGCCCUCCCAGGGCUCCCAGACU